RNAcentral lists this long non-coding RNA (6184 nucleotides) under Selaginella moellendorffii. RNAcentral's name for it is "long non-coding RNA (SMOE_LNC000245)". The record is from RNAcentral. Lineage: Eukaryota; Viridiplantae; Streptophyta; Lycopodiopsida; Selaginellales; Selaginellaceae.
UUCAUUCAUUUUCGUUUUCAUACAGAUCUAUAGCAAUAGUCCUUGAGUUCUUUCAUUUUCAUGGCAGAAAACCUCGUUCACGGAUGCUAGCAAUGGUGUCAAAGAGAGUUUGUUCAUAAGGUAUGAAUCCUCCAAUUAGCUCUGUAGUUUUCUUGUUUCCAAUCUUCUCGGGGGGGAUUCCAUCGUAUCUUCCGGCAUGAGGAAUUCCAACGCUCGUUUCAGGAACACCCCUACCCAUACAAAUCUCAUUACGCUUUGAACAAAACUGAACAAAAAGGAAUGAAAGUAAACUCACUCAUGGGCACAGCAGCGAAGCUGGGGGAACUUUUCCUUGACCGAUUUCAGGACGUCUCUGUGGGAAAUGCUCAGUGCAACGCAAAAGUAGCGCCCCAAAGCAGCCUCGUUAUCGACUGCCAAAAUGUGAGCUUUUGCAACAUCUCUCACGUCCACGAGAGGAAUGUAAGAAGUUGGCGAAAGAUUCCGGGAACCUGGAUCAUCACAAACGAGAUAAAUGUUUGUACGAGAAAACCAACGAAACCACAGUCAGACCUUCUACAACUUCCUUGAGAUAUUCACUGCUAGUGUUGAGGGUUUGUUGCAAGAGAGGACCAAACACGUAAACAGGGCACACCACAAGAAGUUUGAGCCCUUUCUCUUCGGCAAACUUCCAUGCCGUCUUCUCCGACUCCGUCUUGGCAACCAAGUACCACCGCUGCAAACCGAAGUACGAGUCAAGAGUCGAAUUAAGUCAAAAGCAAGUCCCAUUUACUUGCCUCGAUUUUGCGGCAGUGGUCCAGCAACUCUCAUCAACCACCUUGUCCUCGGGACGAUCCGGGUCAACCAUGACUGCUGCGCCGGAGGAGGUCAUCACCACUCGCUUGAUCUUCUCCUCGCUGCAAGCACGCAUCACAUUCUCCGUUCCAGUGAUUGCUGGGACCAACACAUCCUGGCAGAAAAAAAAACUCAGAAAAUUUCUCAUUGCCCACGAGCAAAACCAGCUAGAUUCUUACAUCUGGGGUGUCAAACUUCCAGAAGAAGGGGCAGGCUGUGUGGAAGACGGCCUCACAGCCCCGGACUGCCGGGACAAUGGAAUCGUAGUCGAGAACAUCGGCUUUGAACAGCUUGAGCCUCUCCCCAGCUCCUGGGAGCUGCUUGAGAUGUCCACACUUCGCAUUGUUACCUGAUGAUUGGGUCAUUCAGAUUUCGGCUAUGGAUAAGGGAGAAGUCUAUGCUUACUUGGGUCACGCACGGUGCCGUGAACAGUAUAGCCUUUCUCCAGAAGCUGCUUUACAAUCCAAGAGGCAAUGAAACCCCCAGCUCCAAUCACACACACGACCUUCUUGCUUGCUUUCAUUGCCAUGCUCUUUGCUCUAUUUUGCUACUUAUUAGUUUAUUUUGCACAACACAAGGUUUCUUGCACUUUUCACUAUACCCACUUCUUGUGAUUGAUGCUGGUGAUUCUCAUGUUUAAGGACAAGAGUGAGAAUAUAGUUAUGGCUAUGAUAUUUGUUAUUAAGCAUGUGAUAAAGUUGGCCAUAUGUAUCAACAUUGUUAACAUUUUUCAGAUUAGUGUCUUCCAUUUCGUAAGUGAAAGCUUUAGCAUUAACAAAAUUUUGUUGGUGUUAUUAUAAUUGAAGGUUUUGACAUAGAAAUUCUUUAGGGAAAUGAAGAGUCACACAAGUAAUGAAGAGUCUUUAUGUGAAUAAGUAACCCUUUCAUCCUUCUUUUGAGAGUAUUAUUAAGGAAUUCAUCAAGUAUUUAGUUUCCAAAUUUGUUUUUAUAAUAAAAGGUAUUUUAUUAUUCUCUUGAUAAAGGUUUGAAUUUAUCUUUUAUUGUUCAGCUUAUUGCCAUAUAUUGAUGUCUAUAGUUGUGUCAUGUAAUAGAACCAAUUUUCAUUUUUUAUGGCAACAAUUAUAUAUAUACAUGUGUAUGGGAUGAGAUAAACCUAGCUAUACAUGUGGCAAAUUUUGAGCUUGAACUUUAAUUAUUGCAGGUGGUGUUGAGUCAAGUUUUUGAUUUUAUUAUUGAUAUAGUGUCGCAAAUGUGACUUUGAGUAUCGAAAGUUAUAUGUCGGCCAGUCCUUACGGACAUUCUUUACUUACUGUCACAACGGCAGGAAGUCAGUAUUGCUGGACCUAUUAUUAGUCUCCACCUAAGUUAGUUGAGAAACUGAUCAUCACAUAUGCACUUAGACUAAAAGGGUACUAAAGAAGGAAAUCCUACGUUGUCAAUUAGUCAAGCAUACUUGGCAUGGUGAUGAGAAACUCAUAUUGUUGACUUGCACUUGCUAGUGUUGGGAACCCCGUAAUAUUGAGUUUGGUCUCUUAAUAUCACUAAAUGAUAGCUUACUGUGUCUGCAAAACACCCUCGCUAUCAUGCUCUUUGUGUUAGUUUCAAUUCGAUCCCAAAUGUUAAUUAUAAAAAGUGUCUAGAUUUGCUCAUUUGGCAUAUCUACGGAAUGUAGAAAUUGGCUUGAACACAAUGGUGUUUGUUCCGUGUCCAAAUUCACAAUUUAGCGCCAUUUCAUAUUUAGUAAGUUUUAAGCUUGUCCCAGAGACUAACUCCUGAUGCUAAAGGAGGCUUGGGGUGAAAGCCUAAAGCAUGUGUUUCUGAAAGGGGGGGGGGGGGGGGGUUCCAAAUGUAUAGUAGGGAUAGUGGGUAGGUUGGGCAUGGCUGACCAACCUGAGGCAUAGUUUAGCUCUCGCUUGUAUGCUUGUCCUUGUUCUGCAUCUGGCUUGGGUCUAAGCCCAAGUUCCAUUCCAUGUUAGCUGGUGAAGUACUUAUAUCUUUACAUUAGGCCACCGGUAUGCUGAAAUAGCACUAGACCCUAUUUGGCUCCGUUUUGCAUGUUGGUCUUGGCAUUGGGAUGUUAAUUGCUUUAGGACUGUUCCAAGUCACUCCGGGCUCCUGUCCCUUCGCUCCUUGGGUUAUAUGCUUAAGAAUUGCUCCAUGGUCCAGUUCCGACACUCCUUGGCUCUAUGCUUGGGAGUUUGGCACCAUUCCUUUGUUUAGUGGCCCAAGGCCCUGAACCUUAGGUUCCACACCACAAUCCUAUGGACAUGUGGUAUAUAACAUGUGGCAUAUAGAGGGUUUAGGUUCCACUUCGUGGUGUUAUUCUAUGGUAAAUUACCAUAGGAUAAAGGGUAAAAACCACGUGCGCUACAUAUAGAUUGAUUAUAACAUAAUUAUGAUAAGUGUGACUUUGAGGCUUCUUCCCUUUAUUUUAUAUUUCCUCACAUUUCUUCCAUUCUUCUCACUUUUGUUCUCUUUUGUCUCUUUGCUUCUAUCAUUUUUGCUUCUUUAUUAUUUUCUAUUGUAUUUCAAUUUUGCUUUUAUAUUUCCUUUAUAGAUCCUUCUGAUGUUGCAAUAAUGGACCAACUCAAGAAUGAGUAUGUUGAUCUUUUUUAUUUUGACUUGUUGUUUGGGGCUUGCAACACAUCAUCUUGCUCAUCCAAUUAAAAUUAUUAUUUAGCAUCAGUCAUUAAAGGAAAUCAAGAUUUUACACAUAAAUAUCAAAAAGAUGUUAAAAAUAGGUGUUAUCCAAAAUUUUUAAAGUCCUUAAACAUAUGAAUGUCAUCUUAUGAUGGGAGUGUUCACUUUUGUAUUGACUAAAUUCAAUGCUAACUCUAUGGUUAAACUCAUAAAUUAUAAGGCUUUUUUCUUCAUCCCAUAUCAAAGUUAGAGGUUGAAAUUACUAGAGCAAGAACUUUGGGUUCUAUAUAUAUAUGAUGUAAUAUAUAUCACCAACAUAUAAUAAUCAAAUAACAAUAAUACAAUAAUAAAUCAUUGGUUUACCAUUGAGAUAAAAAAAAUUGUAGUUAUAUAUGUCAAUGUCAAAAUACAAUAUGGUAGUAGAAAAAAUAAAGAAUUGUCAGAAUUGUGCUUUUAAAGAACUCCCCUACACAUCAAAAUUUCGUAAAUGCUUUUAAAAAAACCAAUGAAAUGCAAAACUCACUCUUGGGCACAGCUGCGAAGCCCGGGGAGCUUUUCCUUGACCGAUUUCAGGACGUCUCUGUGGGAACCCUAAAGCAGUCUCGUUCUCAACUACCAAUAUGUGAACUUUUGCAACAUCUUUCACGUCCACGAAAGGAAUGUAAGCACUUAGCAAAGGAUUCCGGGAACCUGGAUCACCACAAACAAAACAUUGUGUUUGUAUGAGAAAACCAAAGAAACUAACCUUCCACAACUUGAGAUAUUCGUUGCUAGUGUUCAUGGUCUGUUGCAAGAGAGGGCCCAAGACAUCACAUGGGCACACCACGACAGGUUUGAGACCAUGCUAUUUUCUCAGACUCCAGUGCCACCGCUGCAAAACAAUGUCAACUCAAAAGACUCAAACUAAAGUCGAAAUCCAUUGCCUUGCCCUCGGUAGUAGUCAAUGCUAGCUCUCGUCAACCAUCUUGUCCACCGGACGAUCCGAGUCACACAUGACCGCGGUGCCGGAGGAGGUCAUCACCACUCGCUUGAUCUUGCAGUGAGGAUCCUCACUGCAACCACGCAUCACAUCCUCCGUUCCAGUGAUUCCUGGGACCAACACAUCCUGGCAGAAAAGAAAACCCAGAUAAUUUCUCAUGAGAUAAAACCAGCAAGAUUCUCACAUCUGCAGUGUCAAAAUUCCAGAAGAAGGGGCAGGCUGCGUGAAAGACGGCAUCACUGCCCCGGACUGCCAGGUUGUAGUCGAGAACAUCGGCUUUCAACAGCUUGAGCCUCUCGCCAGCUCCUGGGAGCUGCUUGAGAUGUCCACACUUGGCAUUGUUACCUGACGAUACACAUGCAUGAGUCAUUCAGGUGGAGGUGGUGGAUCCAAUACUACUUACUUGGAUUGCACACGGUGCCGUGAAUCGUGUAGCUUCUCGAGAAGAUGCUAUACAAUCCCAGAGGCAAUGAAACCCCCGGCUCCAGUCACACACAUGAUUCUUGCUUGCUUCCAUUGCCAUGCUCUUUGCUUUAAUUUGCUACUUAUUUGCUCUAGCUUGCGCUGCUGUGUAUUUAUACACUCUAUCAAGUCUUCAAGAAUUUCCACUUGCCUUCUGAGCAAGCAUCCUGGAGCACUGUGGCGUCGCAACUGGAGCACUGUGGCACCGGUCUCGUUCAAUUUAUUUAUUGGUAGAAUUUAAUGUUUUAUAGAUAGAUGGGGAGCCGGUCUCUAAGAUUGCUAUUUAACUUAUUUAUUGUGGCUGAAUCAGAUGUGUGCAUCAUGUUGGGCAGUGGUGGUGGAGUUUUUGCAAAGCAGCAAUAUGCUCUUGCACCUUUUACUUCUACAAUACUAAUUUUAGGUGAGAAUGCAGUGUUUAUGAAAUGCAAAAUGCGCUUUGAAGUUGCUGGUGGUACACGGAGGCGACAGUAGCAGCAAGAGAGGGUUCAAUUUUCAAUCUUCUCUUGCAUUUUUCCUCCAAAGACUAUCAAGCUCGGAACACGUCGCACUCCACUAGGGCAUCCAACUCGCCAUCGCCAUCCCUCUUAGAACCCUGGACAAUUCCAUAACAACAGCAAAAUAUAAGAGCUGCGUUCUCUUUUGAGUAAGCAAGAACUUAACAGAAAGCAGGUUAAGUGCGUAAAGUGGAGUUGAGAGUCAUUAUAAUUUGCAAAGCAAUACGCACAUUCAUUCGUUUUCGUGUUCAUACAGAUCUAUAGCAAUAGUUCCUGAGUUCUUUCAUUUUCAUGGCAGAAAACCUCGUUCACGGAUGCUAGCAAUGGUGUCAAAGAGAGUUUGUUCAUAAGGUAUGAAUCCUCCAAUUAGCUCUGUAGUUUUCUUGUUCCCAAUCUUCUCGGGGGGGAUUCCAUCGUAUCUUCCGGCAUGAGGAAUUCCAACGCUCGUUUCAGGAACACCCCUACCCAUACAAAUCUCAUUACGCUUUGAACAAAACUGAACAAAAAGGAAUGAAAGUAAACUCACUCGUGGGCACAGCAGCGAAGCUGGGGGAACUUUUCCUUGACCGAUUUCAGGACGUCUCUGUGGGAAACGCUCAGUGCAACGCAAAAGUAGCGCCCCAAAGCAGCCUCGUUCUCGACUGCCAAAAUGUGAGCUUUUGCAACAUCUCUCACGUCCAUGAGAGAAAUGUAAGAAUUUGGCGAAGGAUUCCGGGAACCUGGAUUAUCACAAACAAGAUAAAUGUCUGUACGAGAAAACCAAGGAAACAACAGUCAAACCUUCUACAACUUCCUUGAGAUAUUCGCUGCUAGUGUU